This 763-nucleotide long non-coding RNA is filed under the name Homo sapiens (human). Its description in RNAcentral is "HSALNT0184139". Lineage: Eukaryota; Metazoa; Chordata; Mammalia; Primates; Hominidae. The record is from RNAcentral.
GGAAGGUCUACUCUAUAGUCUACAAUCAGGCCUCAGAGUUUUGGAGGCACGAGGGGAUUUUUCUCCAUUAUUCACUGUGAGAACUCGGGGAAGCUCCAGAAGGUGAGGGAGAGGGGACAACGACAUGGUUCCCGUGGAUCUUUAACUUCCAGACUUGCCCGCUCUGCGCCUCCGGCACUCUGGUGAUGACAGCUCAGGUUUCCCUGCCUGUCACUGCUCGGGCAGAGGCUGCUGCCCAGGGCUUCUGCUCCGGUACCUUGUGAAGCUGCAUUCUCCUGCCGGUUUCUCCAGUUCUGGGGACAGUGGUUUGCUCUGAGACCUCGCUUCCUUUAUGGAUCCAAGGAGACUUGCUUUUUCAGUCUGUUCAGCUUUUUACUUGCUAGGAUGGAAUUGCAAUUUGCAAGCUUCUUCGACAGGAAACUACAAGUUCCACACUUUAAUUUUAUACAUAUAAAUAUAUACAUGUGUACAUAUAUCUAUGUACAGGGGUAUUAUAUAUAUACAUAUAAGAUGAUGAUAUAUAUAAUGAUGAUAUGUAUUACUGAGAACGUAAAAUAUCAUUACAUAGUGAUAGCUGGACACACAAGGAAUUCACAACUCCCCAAAGAAAAUACAUCUGGAUGACCUGCCUAGCAGUUUCCCCAUGAGAUAGAGGAAUGUCUACGUAUUUCAUUCCCUGUUCCUGCCCUGAAACAAUUUCAAUCACUGACAAAUCAUUAUCAUUCAUUAAUAAUGUUUACUGAGUGCCCAUAUGUGAAAGAAA